UCCUGACUGACCGAUAGUGAACCAGUACCGUGAGGGAAAGGCGAAAAGAACCCCGGCGAGGGGAGUGAAAAAGAACCUGAAACCGUGUACGUACAAGCAGUGGGAGCACGCUUAGGCGUGUGACUGCGUACCUUUUGUAUAAUGGGUCAGCGACUUAUAUUCUGUAGCAAGGUUAACCGAAUAGGGGAGCCGAAGGGAAACCGAGUCUUAACUGGGCGUUAAGUUGCAGGGUAUAGACCCGAAACCCGGUGAUCUAGCCAUGGGCAGGUUGAAGGUUGGGUAACACUAACUGGAGGACCGAACCGACUAAUGUUGAAAAAUUAGCGGAUGACUUGUGGCUGGGGGUGAAAGGCCAAUCAAACCGGGAGAUAGCUGGUUCUCCCCGAAAGCUAUUUAGGUAGCGCCUCGUGAAUUCAUCUCCGGGGGUAGAGCACUGUUUCGGCAAGGGGGUCAUCCCGACUUACCAACCCGAUGCAAACUGCGAAUACCGGAGAAUGUUAUCACGGGAGACACACGGCGGGUGCUAACGUCCGUCGUGAAGAGGGAAACAACCCAGACCGCCAGCUAAGGUCCCAAAGUCAUGGUUAAGUGGGAAACGAUGUGGGAAGGCCCAGACAGCCAGGAUGUUGGCUUAGAAGCAGCCAUCAUUUAAAGAAAGCGUAAUAGCUCACUGGUCGAGUCGGCCUGCGCGGAAGAUGUAACGGGGCUAAACCAUG
RNAcentral lists this ribosomal RNA (716 nucleotides) under Escherichia coli. RNAcentral describes it as "partial 23S ribosomal RNA". It matches the Rfam family "Bacterial large subunit ribosomal RNA", at positions 474 to 1191 of the family's 2925-position model. RNAcentral also lists the same sequence under 1 other name. Lineage: Bacteria; Pseudomonadati; Pseudomonadota; Gammaproteobacteria; Enterobacterales; Enterobacteriaceae. The record is from RNAcentral.